GACGAACGCUGGCGGCGUGCUUAACACAUGCAAGUCGAACGGAAAGGCCCUGCUUUUGUGGGGUGCUCGAGUGGCGAACGGGUGAGUAACACGUGAGUAACCUGCCCUUGACUUUGGGAUAACUUCAGGAAACUGGGGCUAAUACCGGAUAGGAGCUCCUGCUGCAUGGUGGGGGUUGGAAAGUUUCGGCGGUUGGGGCUGGACUCGCGGCUUAUCAGCUUGUUGGUGGGGUAGUGGCUUACCAAGGCUUUGACGGGUAGCCGGCCUGAGAGGGUGACCGGCCACAUUGGGACUGAGAUACGGCCCAGACUCCUACGGGAGGCAGCAGUGGGGAAUAUUGCACAAUGGGCGGAAGCCUGAUGCAGCAACGCCGCGUGCGGGAUGACGGCCUUCGGGUUGUAAACCGCUUUCGCCUGUGACGCAGCGUGAGUGACGGUAAUGGGUAAAGAAGCACCGGCUAACUACGUG
Molecule: ribosomal RNA, 468 nt
Filed under: uncultured bacterium
Lineage: Bacteria
Description: partial 16S ribosomal RNA
Rfam family: Bacterial small subunit ribosomal RNA
Source: RNAcentral